This 377-nucleotide ribosomal RNA is filed under the name uncultured bacterium. RNAcentral describes it as "bacterial SSU rRNA". It matches the Rfam family "Bacterial small subunit ribosomal RNA", at positions 523 to 898 of the family's 1533-position model. The record is from RNAcentral.
AUACGUAGGGGGCGAGCGUUGUCCGGAAUUACUGGGCGUAAAGGGUGCGUAGGCGGCUGAUCAAGUCAGAUGUGAAAUACCACGGCUUAACUGUGGGGGUGCAUUUGAAACUGGUUAGCUUGAGUGCAGGAGAGGAAAGCGGAAUUCCUAGUGUAGCGGUGAAAUGCGUAGAGAUUAGGAGGAACACCGGUGGCGAAGGCGGCUUUCUGGACUGUAACUGACGCUGAGGCACGAAAGCGUGGGGAGCGAACAGGAUUAGAUACCCUGGUAGUCCACGCCGUAAACGAUGGAUACUAGGUGUAGGGGGUAUCGACCCCUCCUGUGCCGGAGUUAACGCAAUAAGUAUCCCGCCUGGGGAGUACGGCCGCAAGGUUGAA